CCUACGGGGGGCUGCAGUGAGGAAUAUUGGUCAAUGGGCGCGAGCCUGAACCAGCCAAGUCGCGUGAGGGAAGACGGUCCUAUGGAUUGUAAACCUCUUUUGUCGGGGAGCAAAAGACGCCACGCGUGGCGUUCCGAGAGUACCCGAAGAAAAAGCAUCGGCAAAAUCCGUGCCCGCAGCCGCGGUAAUACGGAGGAUGCGAGCGGUAUCCGGAUUUAUUGGGUUUAAAGGGUGCGCAGGCGGGAUAUUAAGUCAGCGGUAAAAUUGAGGGGCUCAACCUCGUCGAGCCGUUGAAACUGGUUGUAUUGAGUGAGUGAGAAGUAGGCGGAAUGCGUGGUGUAGCGGUGAAAUGCAUAGAUAUCACGCAGAACCCCGAUUGCGAAGGCAGCAUUCCGGCGCCCUACUGACGCUCAGGCACGAAAGUGUGGGUAUCGAACAGGAUUAGAUACCCCUGUAGUC
RNAcentral lists this ribosomal RNA (459 nucleotides) under uncultured bacterium. RNAcentral describes it as "partial 16S ribosomal RNA". It matches the Rfam family "Bacterial small subunit ribosomal RNA", at positions 338 to 795 of the family's 1533-position model. The record is from RNAcentral.